AAAUGUAGGGCAGCUUCCUACUCUGGGAGUGGCCUCAGGCUAGUUCAGGUUGCUAAGUUGAGUUCUGGAGGAAGCUGGCUUUGUGGAAAACAGUUUGGCUUUAGCAGACAGGACAGUGGCCGUACUCAAGACUGGCAGGAGAAUGGUUAAGAACCUGCUUAGCAAUGAAGGCAGUGACUGCACUAACAUGUGAGAAAGAAGACAGAGAUGGGAAAGCAGCAGCAGGACUCGCUGGCCUUAGUUUAAAAGGCCCCAGAAAGCAACACUGAUGGCUGAACAAAGGCAGCACUGUACCCUGAGCCCAGCACAAGCCUUCGCUCUCUGUCCUGCAACUCCUCAGCUGGCCCGGCCUCUACACAUCUAUUUCUCAUUGAUACGGAUGCACUUUUACUGCCACUGCCUUCUCUGAGAUUCCAAACAGACCUGCAAACCUCCCUUGCCUGCUCUAACGAUACCGACCUACCUGCCUUUGGAGAAGGGGCCCUAGGGACCAGCAAACUCAAUUCAGAAAGGGCCAGAGAGCAGAUAUUUUGGUCUCUAUGGGUAGUAUAGUUUUACAAUGCACUCUUGGGUUUUUCUUUGUAAAAUACAUUUUAUUGUUAAAUUGACCAUUUAUAGUCAUAGACUUAUGGGGUUCCGAGUGACGUCAUGGUUUAUGAAUACAAUGUGGAAUAAGUAGAUCAGAUAAAUUAAUAUCACCCCAAAUACUUAAUCCUUAUUUGUAGUAAGAAAAUUUGAAUUUUACUGUCAGAAAAUUUGAAAUGCACAACCCUCUAAAAACGUAAAAUCACCAUGCCUUUAAUACCAGUACUUGGAAGGCAGGGGCAGCAGCAAAUGGAUCUCUGUGAGUUAGAGGCCAUUCUGGUCUAUAGAGCAGGCCAGCCAGGACUACACAAAGAAACCCUGUCUUGAUAAAACCAACCAACCAACCAACCAAACAAACAAAAAAGUAAAAAUUACUCCCAGUAAAAGCAUAGCAAAACCACCA
This 988-nucleotide long non-coding RNA is filed under the name Mus musculus (house mouse). Its description in RNAcentral is "predicted gene, 52698". The record is from RNAcentral. Lineage: Eukaryota; Metazoa; Chordata; Mammalia; Rodentia; Muridae.